AAAGAAUUGUUUAAUCAGCCGUGAAUUGGGGACUUCAAACAUUUUAACCAUAUGCUGCCAGAUUGUUCAUCAUAAAAUUUCCUUCUCUCUCCCAGAAACCGGCGAGAGUUUGGCAAGCGAGUUCCUGUUCUCUGAUGUGUGUAGGGUGGAGAGUGGGGAGAACUGCUCCUCUCCUGCACCCAGAGAAGAGCUGGUCCCUGCAGAAGAAACGGAACAGGAUAAAGAGCACACAUGUGAGACGCUGCUGAUGUGCAUUGUCACUGUACUGAGUCACGGGCUGCGGAGCGGGGGUGGAGUAGGAGAUGUGCUCAGGAAGCCGUCCAAAGAGGAACCCCUGUUUGCUGCUAGAGUGAUUUAUGACCUCUUGUUCUUCUUCAUGGUCAUCAUCAUUGUUCUUAACCUGAUUUUUGGGGUUAUCAUUGACACUUUUGCUGACCUGAGGAGUGAGAAGCAGAAGAAGGAAGAGAUCUUGAAGACCACGUGCUUUAUCUGUGGCUUGGAAAGAGACAAGUUUGACAACAAGACUGUCACCUUUGAAGAGCACAUCAAGGAAGAACACAACAUGUGGCACUAUCUGUGCUUCAUCGUCCUGGUGAAAGUAAAGGACUCCACCGAAUAUACUGGGCCUGAGAGUUACGUGGCAGAAAUGAUC
RNAcentral lists this small RNA (652 nucleotides) under Pongo abelii (Sumatran orangutan). RNAcentral describes it as "retained intron". The record is from RNAcentral. Lineage: Eukaryota; Metazoa; Chordata; Mammalia; Primates; Hominidae.